AGUGAGUUCAAUGAGCUUUCUGUAUUUUAAUGCUUUAGUGUUUCAGUUUUAUAAGUGAAGAUUUUAUUUUAAAAACCAGUGGGAAAGAGUGGGAUUUUUUUUUUUUUUUUUUUUUUUGGGUAUGUCUGGAUCAUUCAGACAGUACAUCCAAACUCAGAAGAAUGUAGACAAAUAAAGAAAAAGAAAAUGGCACUGUCUCAGGCCUGGGUGUUUGACCCUCCAGUCAGUCGGGUGAUGGGCAGCUUGCUCCGCUCUGUUCCCGCCCUGGAAUGCAGGGUGGGGACAGCAGGACGAUCCCUGGUCACCAGAGAGGGUCCAACUCCAGGCCUCCAGACAUCUCUAUUCCAAGCUUGGCAAGAGCCAGCUUUCUGCCCACCUGAGGGUCUUUUUACCCCCGUCCCAUGGGCUCCACAGCUCCACCCCUGGCAGCGUGCGGAGCCCCCGGAAGGCUGGAGCCUCAGGCACAUGUUUGUUUCUGCUCCAUGAAUCCUGCCAGCCGGCUGUGCUGGUAGGGAGGGGCUGGUGUGUGCCGCCCCAGAGAAGCUUCCAGUGAGAGCUGGGGCUCCCUACAAGUGGCAGAGACUUGAGUCUAGUGGUCUGGGGGAAGAUUUGUCUCCUGUCAGUUCUUCAGUGUGGGGGAGCUGGUCACAAGUCGAGAGAACUCCAGGCUUUUGUGAAGCGGCGCCAAGGGUCUCUGCUGCUGGACAUCUGUCCAGCACCUCCCCAAGAGCCUUCGUCCACCUGUAGCCGCCUCUCCUCCUGGACACCUGGCAGGUGUUGGCCUGAGCCUCUAGGUUGCCCUCUGGUAUCCUAUGUGCAAGAAGGAACAAGAUCCCAUCUGUGGCGAGACCCCGCCGUUGCUGAAGCAAAUGAGAGCUGCGUGGAAGGGGGUAAACGUGAGCCUUCCUGGAUCCACAAAAGACAAGUCUCUGCGCUUCACGCCGGUGUAGAGGAAGCCCCAGGGAUGAGUGACUCAGCCCCGGGAGAGUUGGAAAGAGAAUGUGGCUGCGUGAAACCAGGCCGAGCAGCAGCUCACGUGGGAGUUCCAGUGUGUGAGAGCCAGCAUUCCACACAAGUGAUCUGUAGUGGACGAGUGGAGUCCCUGCUGCCAUGGUCAGGGGCUGUGUCUGAUUGGCACAUCUACCCGCUGGGACAGGAAGACACUCCUACUGGCAUUCUGGUUUUGGAUGAGGAUUCAGGCUGAGGAGGGCUUGUGUGUCACCCACCAACUCAGCCGGAGGACUGCCUGCCAAGCACGGCUAAACUCUAGAUGAGUCCCUGAGGUCUUGCUGGAGAGGGUUGGAUGGCACACUCCGUGACUCAACAGGAGCCCAGGUGCUUUGUCUCAGGAGCAGCUGGAGAACACAGUACACUCCGUGGCACACCUUGCAGGCCUCCCUGUUGCUGAGGGCGCUGGGGUUCAUUUGGCCUGUGGUGGUAUCCCAGCGCCCCAGCCCCACCGAACCAAGACGCAGCUGUCACCUUGGGUAGAGAAGGCCUGUGGGAGGCGCUCCACCUCCCCGCCGCAUGCGCUGGCUUGCUUCACCUGCUGUCCCGUGUCCAGUGCAGGUCACCAGGAGCCUCCACAGGAAGAGCAGGGGCCCACAGUUUGUCCUCUGGAGUUGAUCAUGACGAGGGAGAUCCACUCCACCACUGACCGUUCUCCUGCAGUCCAUAAGGCCUGUCCUUGCCCCCGAAGCUCUGCGUCCCGAUCCUCCGCAGCUGGGGUGUCGCCUCCGCAUUCAGUCUCCGUGUGAGCUCCGUCCAUGCUGGCCGUACACAUUACCCGCCUGAGACCUCUGGACGCGGUUCUGGGCAUCAGCGCAACCAGCCUCCAUGGAGGCCACGACGCUCACUGACCCUUCCCAGAAUAAACUGAGUUCACGUGUC
Long non-coding RNA from Dipodomys spectabilis (banner-tailed kangaroo rat), 1890 nucleotides. RefSeq lists it as uncharacterized. The record is from RefSeq and is a predicted model, not a curated record. The transcript has 2 exons. Lineage: Eukaryota; Metazoa; Chordata; Mammalia; Rodentia; Heteromyidae.